This 54-nucleotide small RNA is filed under the name Halalkalibacter krulwichiae. Its description in RNAcentral is "Bacillus krulwichiae Streptococcus sRNA SpF59 (ldcC RNA)". It matches the Rfam family "Streptococcus sRNA SpF59 (ldcC RNA)". Lineage: Bacteria; Bacillati; Bacillota; Bacilli; Caryophanales; Bacillaceae. The record is from Rfam by way of RNAcentral.
UGACCACUUACGAUUGUAAGUCAAAGCCAUACGGACAGCUGGGUCAAAUGCCGC